CGAGGCGACGAUGCGUAGGGGUUCUGAGAGGAAGGUCCCCCACACUGGUACUGAGACACGGACCAGACUCCUACGGGAGGCAGCAGUGAGGAAUAUUGGUCAAUGGGCGCGAGCCUGAACCAGCCAAGUCGCGUGAGGGAUGGCGGUCCUACGGAUUGUAAACCUCUUUUGCCGGGGAGCAAGCGUGCGUUCGUGAACGCGCGUCGAGAGUACCCGGAGAAAAAGCAUCGGCUAACUCCGUGCCAGCAGCCGCGGUAAUACGGAGGAUGCGAGCGUUAUCCGGAUUUAUUGGGUUUAAAGGGUGCGUAGGCGGGAUGCCAAGUCAGCGGUAAAAAUGCGGUGCUCAACGCCGUCGAGCCGUUGAAACUGGCGUUCUUGAGUGGGCGAGAAGUAUGCGGAAUGCGUGGUGUAGCGGUGAAAUGCAUAGAUAUCACGCAGAACUCCGAUUGCGAAGGCAGCAUACCGGCGCCCUACUGACGCUGAGGCACGAAAGCGUGGGUAUCGAACAGGAUUAGAUACCCUGGUAGUCCACGCAGUAAACGAUGAAUGCUAACUGUCCGG
This 561-nucleotide ribosomal RNA is filed under the name uncultured bacterium. RNAcentral describes it as "bacterial SSU rRNA". It matches the Rfam family "Bacterial small subunit ribosomal RNA", at positions 269 to 827 of the family's 1533-position model. The record is from RNAcentral.